Molecule: long non-coding RNA, 625 nt
Organism: Heterocephalus glaber (naked mole-rat)
Lineage: Eukaryota; Metazoa; Chordata; Mammalia; Rodentia; Bathyergidae
Source: RefSeq, a predicted model, not a curated record
CCCCCACUGUGAAACGGGCCCAGCCUGGUCUCCUCACCCACCUCCAUUCCUGAGGCUCUCGGUGCAGGGGGAGGCGGUCCCUGGCUCCGGAGACGCUCUGCGCAUGUGUGGCGUGCUUGCUGUUUGGGGGCCGCCUCAGACUAGUUUCCGUUCUGGAGUGGGCUACUCCCUCCCUGCAAACCUCCAUCUGAACUGAGCAGAUGGAGACGGGGACCGAUCAGAGUGAAGGGAAAGCUGUCCCCACUGCCCUGGCAUAGCUUCCUGCCAGCUGCACUGCCGGCGCAACCUGCCAUCUCCCCACCCUGGACGAGCCUGGGCUAUGCCGGUACCAUGUAUCCAGAAUUCCCUUCUCCGAGUGAUUCCAGCCCCUCCCUCCUGACACUGCACCUGGCGGGCCAUGGAGACAACGGCCAGAAGUGUCCGCCACAGCUCCUCCUCCCUGACUUCUCCCCCAGCGGAUAGCCCUGGCUGACCAUGCAGGCUGGCCUAUCUGCGUCCACGCAGGUCAGAGACCUGUCUGAAUCUCAAACUCCCACCAUUGACCUUGUAUUUCCACAGCUCCCCUGCGCUGUGUGAGGUCUAACUUUGUAAUAAAUCACUACUGUUUCAUUAGCGCACAGCGGCU